Molecule: ribosomal RNA, 301 nt
Filed under: uncultured bacterium
Lineage: Bacteria
Description: partial 16S ribosomal RNA
Rfam family: Bacterial small subunit ribosomal RNA
Source: RNAcentral
CAGUAGCCGCGGGAAUACGAAGGGUGCAAGCGUUACUCGGAAUUACUGGGCGUAAAGCGUGCGUAGGUGGUGGUUUAAGUCCGUUGUGAAAGCCCUGGGCUCAACCUGGGAGCUGCAUUGGUGACUGCAACGCUGGAGUGCGGCAGAGGGGGAUGGAAUUCCGCGUGUAGCAGUGAAAUGCGUAGAUAUGCGGAGGAACACCGAUGGCGAAGGCAAUCCCCUGGGCCUGCACUGACGCUCAUGCACGAAAGCGUGGGGAGCAAACAGGAUUAGAUACCCCGUAGUCCCUGUCUCUAUACAC